GAAGAAUUUUGUGAGGCAACCUUAUCUGCGGUUGAUCGUCAGAAGGUUGCUUUUUUCGGUGUUUAUGAUGGUCAUGGAGGCUCCAGAACUUCAGAGUAUCUAAGAAACCAUCUCUUUAAAAAUUUAAGCAGCCAUCCAGAUUUUAUAGAAGACACAAAGACAGCUAUUGUUGAAGUUUUUACAAACACUGAUGAGAAUUACCUUAGUGAAGAGAAAGGCCAGCAAAAAGAUACUGGGUCAACUGCUUCGACUGCUGUGCUGUUAGGGGAUCGGCUGGUUGUUGCAAAUGUUGGUGAUUCCAGAGUGGUGGCCUCCAGAG
This 319-nucleotide long non-coding RNA is filed under the name Citrus maxima (pomelo). RNAcentral describes it as "long non-coding RNA (CMAX_LNC002455)". Lineage: Eukaryota; Viridiplantae; Streptophyta; Magnoliopsida; Sapindales; Rutaceae. The record is from RNAcentral.